AGUGAAGCGGCAACAGCUCAAAUUUGAAAUCUGGCCCUUUCGGGGUCCGAGUUGUAAUUUAUAGAGAGUGUUUCGGGCGAGAUCACGGUCUAAGUUCAUUGGAACAUGGCGUCAUAGAGGGUGAGAAUCCCGUAUGUGACUGUGGAUCGACCCCAUGUGAAGCCUCUUCGAUGAGUCGAGUUGUUUGGGAAUGCAGCUCAAAAUGGGUGGUAAAUUUCAUCUAAAGCUAAAUACUGGCUGGAGACCGAUAGCGCACAAGUAGAGUGAUCGAAAGAUGAAAAGCACUUUGGAAAGAGAGUCAAAAAGUACGUGAAAUUGUUGAAAGGGAAGCGCUUGCAACCAGACCUGUCCGUAGGUGAUCAGCCGCUGUUCUCAGUGGUGCACUCGCUCUGCGAUCAGGCCAGCAUCGGUUCGGGCGGUCGGAUAAAGGCCUUGGGAAUGUAGCUUCCUUCGGGGAGUCUUAUAGCCCUCGGUGCAAUGCGGCCAGCCGGGACCGAGGACCGCGCUUCGGCUAGGAUGCUGGCGUAAUGGUUGUAAGCGACCCGUCUUGAAACACGGACCAAGGAGUCUAACAUCUAUGCGAGUGUUUGGGUGUCAAACCCAUGCGCGGAAUGAAAGUGAACGGAGGUGAGAACCCUUAAGGGCGCAUCAUCGACCGAUCCAGAUGUCUUCGGAUGGAUUUGAGUAUGAGCAUAGCUGUUGGGACCCGAAAGAUGGUGAACUAUGCCUGAAUAGGGUGAAGCCAGAGGAAACUCUGGUGGAGGCUCGCAGCGGUUCUGACGUGCAAAUCGAUCGUCAAAUUUGGGUAUAGGGGCGAAAGACUAAUCGAACCAUCUAGU
This 839-nucleotide ribosomal RNA is filed under the name Hypogymnia vittata. RNAcentral describes it as "LSU rRNA". It matches the Rfam family "Eukaryotic large subunit ribosomal RNA", at positions 92 to 948 of the family's 3401-position model. Lineage: Eukaryota; Fungi; Ascomycota; Lecanoromycetes; Lecanorales; Parmeliaceae. The record is from RNAcentral.